Molecule: ribosomal RNA, 253 nt
Filed under: uncultured bacterium
Lineage: Bacteria
Description: partial 16S ribosomal RNA
Rfam family: Bacterial small subunit ribosomal RNA
Source: RNAcentral
UACAGAGGUCUCAAGCGUUGUUCGGAAUCAUUGGGCGUAAAGAGCGUGUAGGCGGCCCGGUAAGUCCGCUGUGAAAGUCGGGGGCUCAACCCUCGAAUGCCGGUGGAUACUGUCGGGCUAGAGUGCGGAAGAGGCGAGUGGAAUUCCUGGUGUAGCGGUGAAAUGCGCAGAUAUCAGGAGGAACACCAAUUGCGAAGGCAGCUCGCUGGGACGUAACUGACGCUGAGACGCGAAAGCGUGGGGAGCAAACAGG